GAUGAACGCUGGCGGCGUGCUUAAUACAUGCAAGUCGAGCGAACGGAGGAGAAGCUUUCUUUUCUUCUAUUAGCGGCGGGCGGGUGUGUGACACGUGGAUCACCCCCCUCUAACAGUGGGAUAACUUCGGGGAACAGGAGCUCUUAUCGGAUAAACUUUUGAACCGCGUGGUUGAAGAGUGAAGGACGGUCUUGCCGUCACGUAUGGAUGGAUCCGCGCUGCAUUAGCAAGUUGGUAAGGUAACGGCUUACCAAGGCAACGAGGGAUACCCGACCUGAGAGGGUGAUGGGCCACACUGGAACUGAGACACGGCCCGGACUCCUACGGGAGGCAGCAGUAGGGAAUCUUCCGCAAUGGGCGAAAGCCUGACGGAGCAACGCCGCGUGAGUGAUGAAGGUCUUCGGAUCUUAAAACUCUGUUAUUAGGGAAGAACAUAUGUGUAAGUAACUGUGCACAUCUUGACGGUACCUAAUCAGAAAGCCACGGCUAACUACGUG
RNAcentral lists this ribosomal RNA (497 nucleotides) under uncultured bacterium. Its description in RNAcentral is "partial 16S ribosomal RNA". It matches the Rfam family "Bacterial small subunit ribosomal RNA", at positions 28 to 507 of the family's 1533-position model. The record is from RNAcentral.